RNA transcript from Tachysurus fulvidraco (yellow catfish), 902 nucleotides. It is a transcript of the gene named SIVA1, apoptosis-inducing factor, with no coding region annotated. NCBI's taxonomy places the organism in Eukaryota, Metazoa, Chordata, Actinopteri, Siluriformes, Bagridae. The transcript has 4 exons. The record is from RefSeq and is a predicted model, not a curated record.
AGCGCCGAGUGACUUCGCGGGAAAGGAGAGAGGGGGUCUGGUGCUGAGAGGGUUGUUUUCCUUCCGCGCAGGUUUAGUGGUGGUUUUUCUGGUACAGAUUAUUUCCCAUAUUUUCCCCCAAAAUGCCCAAAAGGUCCUGCCCUUUCGCCGACUCGUUUUCGACGCAGUAUAAAGUCCAUGUUGGACAAAAGGAGCUGCUUCAUGGAGUUUUCGGGAACAAGUACAGACAGGAAGUUUACGAAAAGACCAAGAACCUGCUUUUUAAUGGCACCCGAGCGGUCAUGGGGAGAAUCUGGAACGUGGAUGCAGAGGGGAGGCGUUCUGAGGUGGACAUGUCGGGGUCCAAUCAGGGUGUUGUGGCUCCUGCAAAUAAUCAGCUGCUACUCCGGGGACAGACUCUGAUUGGGUUUGAUGGGAAACUGAAGAAAGCCAAUGCAGUGUCAGACAAUGUGACCACUCCAAAUGUGUGCGCUGUGUGUCAGAGGUCAUCAGGAGUGAGGACAUCAUGCUCUCAGUGUGAUCGUCCUGCGUGUCCCGCCUGCAUGCAGCAGUGCAACAGCUGUUCCAGCCUCUGCUGCUCUGUCUGCACCAUCACUGAGUAAUGCCACACCCAUCUAUGCUGUACCAUACACCUUCUGAAAAACAUGCUUCAAUUUAUUAGCUUCUAUUACUUCAGUUACACAGACCGCUAUGACAAAGUCCUCUGCUGUAGCUGCUCUUCAUGAGGCGUUCACAAAGGUGGACCAGACCAAUUCCUGAAUGAAAGGAAAUGUAUUUUUCUUGUAAUAAACUUUAAUGCAUUACACAAUGUAAAUAAAAUUUUAUAUAGCUUUUACAUCUAUAUCAUUUGUCUCUGUACAUACUGUAUGUUUUUAAUCAUUUAAAUAAAUACUUGGACAAUU